GACAGAGGUGCCGAGCGUUAGGCGGAAUCACUGGGCUUAAAGCGUGUGUAGGCGGGGCGUUAAGUGCUUUGUGAAAUCCCACGGCUCAACCGUGGAACUGCUGGGUAUACUGGUUGUCUUGAGCCAGCUAGGGGCGAGCGGAACAGACGGUGGAGCGGUGAAAUGCGUAGAUAUCGUCUGGAACGCCGAAGGUGAAAACAGCUCGCUGGGGCUGCGCUGACGCUGAGACACGAAAGCCAGGGGAGCGAACGGG
This 253-nucleotide ribosomal RNA is filed under the name uncultured bacterium. RNAcentral describes it as "partial 16S ribosomal RNA". It matches the Rfam family "Bacterial small subunit ribosomal RNA", at positions 524 to 776 of the family's 1533-position model. The record is from RNAcentral.